ACCCGCUGAACUUAAGCAUAUCAAUAAGCGGAGGAAAAGAAACUAACAAGGAUUCCCCUAGUAACUGCGAGUGAAGCGGGAARAGCUCAAAUUURRAAUCUGGCAGGUCUYUGGCMCGUCCGAGUUGUAAUCUAGAGAAGUGUCUUCCGCGCUGGACCGUGUACAAGUCUCCUGGAAGGGAGCAUCGCAGAGGGUGACAAUCCCGUCUCUGACACGGACUACCCAGGGCUAUGUGAUGCGCUCUCGACGAGUCGAGUUGUUUGGGAAUGCAGCUCAAAUAGGGUGGUAAACUCCAUCUAAAGCUAAAUACUGGCGAGAGACCGAUAGCGAACAAGUACCGUGAGGGAAAGAUGAAAAGAACUUUGGAAAGAGAGUUAAACAGUACGUGAAAUUGCUGGAAGGGAAACGCUUCAAGGCAGUCGCGUCUGCCAGGGAUCAACCCUUGCUAUUCCUUGGCUGGGGCGUAUUUCCUGGUUGGAUGGGUCAGCAUCGAUUUCGGCUGUCGGAGAAGGUCGGGAGGAAAGUGGCACUCCACGGAGUGUGUUAUAGCCUCUCGUACUGGUGCGACGACGGGGAUCGAGGAACUUGGUCGCAUGACCUAGGAUGUUGGCAUAAUGUCUUCAAGCGACCCGUCUUGAAACACGGACCAAGGAGUCUAACAUGCCUGCGAGUGUUUGGGUGGCAAACCCGAGUGCGAAAUGAAAGUGAAAGUCGAGACCUCUGUCGUGAGGGCACCGACGCCCGGCCCAGCACCUUUGGUUAUGGAUCUGCGGUAUAGCAUGCAUGUUGGGACCCGAAAGAUGGUGAACUAUGCCUGAAUAGGGUGAAGCCAGAGGAAACUCUGGUGGAGGCUCGUAGCGAUUCUGACGUGCAAAUCGAUCGUCGAAUUUGGGUAUAGGGCGAAAGACUAAUCGAACCAUCUAGUAGCUGGUCCCGCCGAGUUUCCCUCAGAAAGCGAUCAGCACACUGCGCAGUUACUAGUGAUCGAGCUCGGUACCAGCUGCGUAUCAUGUAUAAUGGUUUGUUUCAAGA
RNAcentral lists this ribosomal RNA (1032 nucleotides) under Calostoma lutescens. Its description in RNAcentral is "eukaryotic LSU rRNA". It matches the Rfam family "Eukaryotic large subunit ribosomal RNA", at positions 23 to 1105 of the family's 3401-position model. The record is from RNAcentral. Lineage: Eukaryota; Fungi; Basidiomycota; Agaricomycetes; Boletales; Calostomataceae.